This 468-nucleotide ribosomal RNA is filed under the name uncultured bacterium. RNAcentral's name for it is "partial 16S ribosomal RNA". It matches the Rfam family "Bacterial small subunit ribosomal RNA", at positions 28 to 507 of the family's 1533-position model. The record is from RNAcentral.
GACGAACGCUGGCGGCGUGCUUAACACAUGCAAGUCGAACGGAAAGGCCCUGCUUUUGUGGGGUGCUCGAGUGGCGAACGGGUGAGUAACACGUGAGUAACCUGCCCUUGACUUUGGGAUAACUUCAGGAAACUGGGGCUAAUACCGGAUAGGAGCUCCUGCUGCAUGGUGGGGGUUGGAAAGUUUCGGCGGUUGGGGAUGGACUCGCGGCUUAUCAGCUUGUUGGUGGGGUAGUGGCUUACCAAGGCUUUGACGGGUAGCCGGCCUGAGAGGGUGACCGGCCACAUUGGGACUGAGAUACGGCCCAGACUCCUACGGGAGGCAGAAGUGGGGAAUAUUGCAAAAUGGGCGGAAGCCUGAAGCAGCAACGCCGCGUGCGGGAUGACGGCCUUCGGGCUGUAAACCGCUUUCGCCUGUGACGAAGCGUGAGUGAAGGUAAUGGGUAAAGAAGCACCGGCUAACUACGUG